RNAcentral lists this ribosomal RNA (521 nucleotides) under Staphylococcus aureus. RNAcentral's name for it is "bacterial SSU rRNA". It matches the Rfam family "Bacterial small subunit ribosomal RNA", at positions 1013 to 1533 of the family's 1533-position model. Lineage: Bacteria; Bacillati; Bacillota; Bacilli; Caryophanales; Staphylococcaceae. RNAcentral also lists the same sequence under 1 other name. The record is from RNAcentral.
UUCCCCUUCGGGGGACAAAGUGACAGGUGGUGCAUGGUUGUCGUCAGCUCGUGUCGUGAGAUGUUGGGUUAAGUCCCGCAACGAGCGCAACCCUUAAGCUUAGUUGCCAUCAUUAAGUUGGGCACUCUAAGUUGACUGCCGGUGACAAACCGGAGGAAGGUGGGGAUGACGUCAAAUCAUCAUGCCCCUUAUGAUUUGGGCUACACACGUGCUACAAUGGACAAUACAAAGGGCAGCGAAACCGUGAGGUCAAGCAAAUCCCAUAAAGUUGUUCUCAGUUCGGAUUGUAGUCUGCAACUCGACUACAUGAAGCUGGAAUCGCUAGUAAUCGUAGAUCAGCAUGCUACGGUGAAUACGUUCCCGGGUCUUGUACACACCGCCCGUCACACCACGAGAGUUUGUAACACCCGAAGCCGGUGGAGUAACCUUUUAGGAGCUAGCCGUCGAAGGUGGGACAAAUGAUUGGGGUGAAGUCGUAACAAGGUAGCCGUAUCGGAAGGUGCGGCUGGAUCACCUCCUUU